CCUACGGGGGGCAGCAGUAGGGAAUCUUCGGCAAUGGGGGCAACCCUGACCGAGCAACGCCGCGUGAGUGAAGAAGGUUUUCGGAACGUAAAGCUCUGUUGUAAGUCAAGAACGAGUGUGAGAGUGGAAAGUUCACACUGUGACGGUAGCUUACCAGAAAGGGACGGCUAACUACGUGCCAGCAGCCGCGGUAAUACGUAGGUCCCGAGCGUUGUCCGGAUUUAUUGGGCGUAAAGCGAGCGCAGGCGGUUUGAUAAGUCUGAAGUUAAAGGCUGUGGCUCAACCAUAGUUCGCUUUGGAAACUGUCAAACUUGAGUGCAGAAGGGGAGAGUGGAAUUCCAUGUGUAGCGGUGAAAUGCGUAGAUAUAUGGAGGAACACCGGUGGCGAAAGCGGCUCUCUGGUCUGUAACUGACACUGAGGCGCGAAAGCGUGGGGAGCAAACAGGAUUAGAUACCCGGGUAGUC
This 465-nucleotide ribosomal RNA is filed under the name uncultured Streptococcus sp. RNAcentral describes it as "bacterial SSU rRNA". It matches the Rfam family "Bacterial small subunit ribosomal RNA", at positions 338 to 795 of the family's 1533-position model. The record is from RNAcentral. Lineage: Bacteria; Bacillati; Bacillota; Bacilli; Lactobacillales; Streptococcaceae.